CCUACGGGUGGCAGCAGUGGGGAAUAUUGGUCAAUGGGCGGAAGUCUGAACCAGCCACGUAGCGUGAAGGAUGAAGGCCCUCUGGGUGUUAAGCUUCUUUUAUAGAGGAGUAAAACAAGGCACGUGUACCUUUUUGCAUGUACUUUAUCAAUACAGAUGCGCUAACUACGGGCCAGCAGCCGAGGUAAUACGGAGGAGACGAGCGUUAUCCGGAUUUAGUGGGUUUAAAGGGCGCGUAGAUGGGUUGUUAAGUCAGUUGUGAAAGUUCGCGGCUCAACCGUAAAAUUGCAAUUGAUACUGGGAGGCUUGAGUACAGGUGAGGCAGGCGGAAUUCGUGGUGUAGCGGUGAAAUGCGUAGAUAUCAGGAAGAACACCGAUGGCGAAGGCAGCCUACUAAACUGUGACUGACAUUGAGGCUCGAAAGCGUGGGUAGCAAACAGGAUUAGAUACCCUAGUAGUC
This 460-nucleotide ribosomal RNA is filed under the name uncultured bacterium. Its description in RNAcentral is "partial 16S ribosomal RNA". It matches the Rfam family "Bacterial small subunit ribosomal RNA", at positions 338 to 795 of the family's 1533-position model. The record is from RNAcentral.